RNAcentral lists this transfer RNA (82 nucleotides) under Caudoviricetes sp. RNAcentral describes it as "tRNA-Tyr". It matches the Rfam family "tRNA". From Rfam's summary of the family: Transfer RNA (tRNA) molecules are approximately 80 nucleotides in length. Their secondary structure includes four short double-helical elements and three loops (D, anti-codon, and T loops). Lineage: Duplodnaviria; Heunggongvirae; Uroviricota; Caudoviricetes. The record is from RNAcentral.
GGAAGUAUAGCCAAGCGGCAACGGCGCCAGACUGUAAAUCUGGUCUCUUCGGAGUUCGUAGGUUCGAGUCCUUCUGCUUCCA